AUUUUGUAGAGAUUGGGUUUUGCUAUAUUGCCCAGGCUGAUCUCGAAUUCCUGGACUCAAGUGAAGACAGACCCUGGAAAUGUUGGACUAAGAUCUCAGUAUCCUAUAGAUAAAUUCACGGUGAAAUGAAGGUGCUUAUGAAAAUGCAUUUUCGUCACAUAACCUUCAGGCUGUAGUUUUGGAUAAGAAGGAAAAGGGCAAGUUAAAGAAUAUUUUUAACUUAAAAAGUGUAAGCAAACUCAGUUUGCAAAAGACUAAUUGGAUUUUCUGCCUAGCCAUUCCUUAUUUCCCCAUUGCAUUGCACUUUUCCUGGAAGAAUUAGAUCAGGCUGGGCAAUUUAGCUUUUGGUUUGUAACCAGAUUCAUUUCCUAUCCCUCCUGGGUUUUAGCGGAGUUAGCUUUUAAACUAUAGGAGGGAAAAACCACAUUCUCACACUCAGAGCCAAGAUUUCAAAACGAUUUUUCAAACACCAUUGACUUCUCUAAUUAUCAAAUUCAAUUCUUCAGCACUGUACUUGGACCAUUCUAAACUAUCUAGUUUCUCAUAUCUACUGAUGAUAUAGCCAAAGGGCAGAGACUAAAUGUGGACUUCUUGCUCCUACUUACUGAAUUUCCUCAUUCAUGAGGAAUAACUCAUGCUUUGUCCCCAUGAGUAUAGGGCCAUCGUUAACCUACACAGAACCUUUGGAAAAUGGCAAAAUAUCCCAUCUUUGGGUAGAUGUACAAAUCACCUAGCAGAGGGUGAUUUUGUGAGAAACAAAAGGGCCUCCUGCCUCUGAAUAAAUGCUGCCCUAAUCUAGUGCUUUAGCUUUGCAUCAUAAAUAUAGCAGAGGGAGUUGAGCUAAUACUAGCUGCUAUAACAAACUAGCUCAAAAUGACCACUGGAUUAAAACAACAGAAGUUCACCUCUAGUUCACAAUAGUUACUUAUCAACCUCCAAUAGGCAGAUGGAAGAAGGCAGAGAAUGGAGAGGUCAACCUGCUUCUUGAUCUCUUUGGCCUAGAAAUAACAUGCUUUACUUCUGCUCGUGUUCCACUGACAAGAACCAGUCACAUGGAGCUUUCUAGAGGAUGGGGGGAGUUAGGAGGUAUAGUUCAUAUCUAGGUAGUCACUUUUCAGAUACAAGGGAAUUUCUGUUCCUUAUGAUUUAAUAACAUGCAUUUUGAGCAAGUCAAAAUGUUCUUGUGGAGCCCUACAUUCACCAGGACACCGCAGAGCUGCUAGUGUUCAAUUUAGGAGGCUGAGUUCCAAAUGCUUUUCAUAUGCUAACGGCUUCAGACUAUAAAUUCAUGUGAGCAUGGACUUGGGAGUCAGCCAGAAUUAUCUUUAAAAUCUCACAAAUUGCUUAGCCACUCAUAGUCUCAGUUCUCUCAUCUAUACAAUACAAAAUAGAGAUAAUAAGAACCCCAGUUCAACAUAAUGAAUCGAAUGGCUUGUUUGUCUCUGUUCCUUUCUGAAGUCCCAGUAAAAUAAAUAUGAAAUGUAACAAUGUUAUAAUCUUUAAACCCAAUUGGACAGUGACAGCAGAUAGAAAUGUCAAUACAUUUUAGCUGAUGGGUGGUGGACUCAAUGAAAGAGAACUGAUUUGAUGUAAUGAAGCAAAUAAAACUUUAUAAUGUAGUGAGGGGGUGAAGAAAGCCAGCAACAAGCAAACUGAUUUAUACCAUAGAACACUAUAAAGGCUCAGAAAUUGGAGAAAGGAGGUACAUCUGAAGAAAAGACUGUAAAAUUGAACUGAAAACAAGAUUAACUGCCACCAUCCUGGGAGCUGGAGAGAGAUGCAGUGCCACGUGAAACAUGGGCUUACAGACAAGUCUGUGAGUGAAACUAUUCUUGACACAAGGAUGCAAAAAUAAAAUGUGUGACCUGAAGAAACUCACAAUGCAUGAGUGAGGAAUGGACAAUUCCAGUACCCACUGGGGUCAAGGCCAUGCCAGAAAAAAGCAGGUGGCAUUGUGGGAAGUUCACGGUGAGACACACUCCCCAGUCUCAAGAAGCCUCCUGGAUGGAGGAGCUGACAUCUGAGACAAGUGUUGACAGACUUACGGACUGGCAGGAUUGGGUGAGGAGAAGUGGAAAAGGCCUCUCCAGCACCUAUGAAAGACUAAGUUUGAGAAAACCUCACCCAUUCGACAAAGUGCAAAUUAUUUAGUACAACAGCCAAGAGAUAAGCAGGAUGAGAAAGCCAGGGGAAGCAGCAGUAAGAACCUGUUCAAGAAGGCACAUCUCAGAUGUGGAAGAACCAUGAUUCAACUCGAGUCUGUCUGCUUCCCAAGACUGUGGUAUUUAAACAGCUUAUAACGAAAAUUCCUUCUAUAGCUCCCCAUAAAAGGGCACACAUUUCUUUCUUAAUGUAUUAUUUCAGGCAUUCAUUCACCACUCAUGUAUUUGUGAAGGUGUUCUCACUAAAUAAACUAUU
Cercocebus atys (sooty mangabey) is the source of this 2418-nucleotide long non-coding RNA. RefSeq lists it as uncharacterized. The transcript has 3 exons. The record is from RefSeq and is a predicted model, not a curated record. Lineage: Eukaryota; Metazoa; Chordata; Mammalia; Primates; Cercopithecidae.